Molecule: microRNA precursor, 191 nt
Filed under: Oryza nivara
Lineage: Eukaryota; Viridiplantae; Streptophyta; Magnoliopsida; Poales; Poaceae
Description: MIR812 microRNA precursor family
Rfam family: MIR812 microRNA precursor family
Source: Rfam by way of RNAcentral
AAAAAGAUAAACCUUGGAUUUCUAUGUCCAUCUUAUAUGAAAGUUUUUUAUAAUUAGUAUUUUUAUUGUUGUUAGAUGAUAAAACAUGAUUAAUACUUUAUACGUGACUUGUCUUUUUAUUUUUUUUAUAUUAUUUUUAAAUAAGACGGACGGUCAAACGUUGGACACGAAAACCAAGGGUUUGUCUUUUU